RNAcentral lists this ribosomal RNA (254 nucleotides) under uncultured bacterium. Its description in RNAcentral is "partial 16S ribosomal RNA". It matches the Rfam family "Bacterial small subunit ribosomal RNA", at positions 524 to 776 of the family's 1533-position model. The record is from RNAcentral.
UACGUAGGUGGCAAGCGUUACUCGGAAUCACUAGGCGUAAAGCGCAGGUAGGCGGUGUGGUAAGUCUGUUGUGAAAGCUCCCGGCUCAACUGGGAGAGGCCAACGGAAACUGCCAUGCUAGAGUGUGGUAGAGGAAACUGGAAUUCCUGGUGUAGCGGUGAAAUGCGUAGAUAUCAGGAGGAACACCUAUGGCGAAAGCAGGUUUCUGGGCCAUCACUGACGCUGAGCUGCGAAAGCUGGGGGGAGCAAACAGG